RNAcentral lists this ribosomal RNA (1106 nucleotides) under Ralstonia pickettii. RNAcentral describes it as "bacterial SSU rRNA". It matches the Rfam family "Bacterial small subunit ribosomal RNA", at positions 59 to 1171 of the family's 1533-position model. The record is from RNAcentral. Lineage: Bacteria; Pseudomonadati; Pseudomonadota; Betaproteobacteria; Burkholderiales; Burkholderiaceae.
AAGUCGAACGGCAGCAUGAUCUAGCUUGCUAGAUUGAUGGCGAGUGGCGAACGGGUGAGUAAUACAUCGGAACGUGCCCUGUAGUGGGGGAUAACUAGUCGAAAGAUUAGCUAAUACCGCAUACGACCUGAGGGUGAAAGUGGGGGACCGCAAGGCCUCAUGCUAUAGGAGCGGCCGAUGUCUGAUUAGCUAGUUGGUGGGGUAAAGGCCCACCAAGGCGACGAUCAGUAGCUGGUCUGAGAGGACGAUCAGCCACACUGGGACUGAGACACGGCCCAGACUCCUACGGGAGGCAGCAGUGGGGAAUUUUGGACAAUGGGCGAAAGCCUGAUCCAGCAAUGCCGCGUGUGUGAAGAAGGCCUUCGGGUUGUAAAGCACUUUUGUCCGGAAAGAAAUGGCUCUGGUUAAUACCUGGGGUCGAUGACGGUACCGGAAGAAUAAGGACCGGCUAACUACGUGCCAGCAGCCGCGGUAAUACGUAGGGUCCAAGCGUUAAUCGGAAUUACUGGGCGUAAAGCGUGCGCAGGCGGUUGUGCAAGACCGAUGUGAAAUCCCCGAGCUUAACUUGGGAAUUGCAUUGGUGACUGCACGGCUAGAGUGUGUCAGAGGGGGGUAGAAUUCCACGUGUAGCAGUGAAAUGCGUAGAGAUGUGGAGGAAUACCGAUGGCGAAGGCAGCCCCCUGGGAUAACACUGACGCUCAUGCACGAAAGCGUGGGGAGCAAACAGGAUUAGAUACCCUGGUAGUCCACGCCCUAAACGAUGUCAACUAGUUGUUGGGGAUUCAUUUCCUUAGUAACGUAGCUAACGCGUGAAGUUGACCGCCUGGGGAGUACGGUCGCAAGAUUAAAACUCAAAGGAAUUGACGGGGACCCGCACAAGCGGUGGAUGAUGUGGAUUAAUUCGAUGCAACGCGAAAAACCUUACCUACCCUUGACAUGCCACUAACGAACCAAAGAUGCAUUAGGUGCUCGAAAGANAAGUGGACACAGGUGCUGCAUGCUGUCGUCGCCUCGUGUCGUGGGAUGUUGGUUAAUCCCGCACCAGCCCACCCUUGUCUCUGUUGCUACAAAGGGNCCCUAGAAAACUGCCGUGANAACCNGANGAA